UGAUAAAAUUAUAUGAGCCGUCAACCUG
RNAcentral lists this small RNA (28 nucleotides) under Bombyx mori (domestic silkworm). RNAcentral's name for it is "ovarian small RNA-32312". The record is from RNAcentral. Lineage: Eukaryota; Metazoa; Arthropoda; Insecta; Lepidoptera; Bombycidae.